This is a long non-coding RNA of Arabidopsis lyrata subsp. lyrata, 1903 nucleotides long. RefSeq lists it as uncharacterized. The record is from RefSeq and is a predicted model, not a curated record. NCBI's taxonomy places the organism in Eukaryota, Viridiplantae, Streptophyta, Magnoliopsida, Brassicales, Brassicaceae. The transcript has 2 exons.
CUGAUAAAGAAGAUGGAAAAAGUAUUAUGGACUCUUGUUUAAGAAAAAUUUGAAGUAUAUUGGAUAUCUAUAAAGUGACUUCCAAUCUCAAACAUAUGUACGAAACAUAUUUCAUUCAAAUGAAGAAACCCAAUGUGAUCGGGGAGUUACAUAUGUUUUAUAGUUAUUAUAGACUAUCCCAUUUGGGAUUUACUUAAUUAAGUGCCUCGGAUUCUGCCAGAAUUAAGCUUGUCCAGUUGAUGCCGUCUUGUUGAGGAAAAGAAUAUGAAAACGGCCGAAAAAGAUUGUAUCCACUCAGAGGUCGAGGGAAGCCUAGCGGAUUGCAUAUGCCAAAAAUAUUAGCCGGGGGUGAAUUUUUAGAAAUCCACCGAGACAUAUAUAACCGAGAUGAUUUCGUCAAUGGAACAAAUAAAGAGUGAUUCCAGUGGAAGAGAGAGCUCGGCAGAUGUCAACAUUGACGUUGGUUAAUAUGCCAACGGCGUAGAUGGUGAGAGGACCAAAGUAGCCAUAUUUCUCCAAAAACCGUUUAAUGCACGGACUGACCCGACGAGGAUCAAAGCCAAAAGGGAAGUGGAAACUUAUUGAUGUCCCAAACGACACAUGUUUCAGCCACAGCCUCCUCGGACGUAGCAAUCUUUGGUCGCUCCGUCACAAUAGUGGGAGGAUUCUCAUCCUCCUCCCUGGAUAUGUCAUAAUAUUUAGAUGAAUGGAAUGGCAAGUGAUCCAAUUACCUCUGCGUAGAAGUGAGAAAGGGAAAAUAAGUAAGACUCAAAAAUGAAACUAACAAGUCUGUCUGGCUUGGCUAGGAUGCUUAAUAAUAAGCUGUUCUGAAUGUUCUCGAGAAGAAAGAUGACUGGUGAAACUUUCAAAGCAUGAUUCCAGUGGAAGAGAGAGCUUGACGGAUGUCAACAUGGACGUCUGUUAGUAUACCAACGGCGUAGAUGGUGAGAGGUUGACCACAGUAGCCAUGUUUCUCCAACAACUCUUUCAUGCACGGGCGGACCCGACGAGCAUCAAAGCCAGGGUACCGAAAACCGUUUGACGUCCCAAAAGACACAUGUUUCAGCCACUGCCUCCUCCGCCGUAGCCUUCUUCAUCGUUCAAGAACCUGAGAGAUACGCACGCAGAAGUUGGUUGAAUCUCGAAAUUGUCUAGCUAGGGUUUCGAAGUCCUUUUAUUGAAGAAAAAAAAAGGAUAGCAACGCUGCCUUGGCGUCCACGCGCUGAUAUUUUAUAUAUACGGGGUUUAGGGUUUAGGCCUUUUGGGCCUAGUGAUCGGUAUAUAAACAAAACCUUCAUGUGAAAGAUAUUUAUUAUCAUCUCUUCCUUCUCUCCCAAAACCCUAAAGUCGCAGCUCUGCAAAUCUCUUAAAGAUUCUCUCUUUCAAUUCAAGAUGCAAAUUUUCGUGAAAACACUCAUUGGCAAGGUGAUAAGUUAUCUGUACCGUUGGCUUUUCUCUGCAAGAGACAGAGAGCACGAAUUUAUCGUAGGUAGAAAACCAAGUGGCUAACAAUCGAUGAUGUCAAGGCUAAGAUUCAGGACAAGGAAGGGAUCCCUCCGGACCAACAGAGACUCAUCUUCGUUGGGAAACAGCUUAAGGAUGGUCGGACUCUUGCAGAUUACAAGAUCCAGAAGGUCUCUUGGUUCUUCGAGCUUUGUGAUCUGUGGUCAAAAGUGGUGUUGUUUGAUUGAGCCUCAUGCGCUUGGGAAGUGACUUGUGGAAAAGAAAACGACUUUGUCUAUCGUUUGUUACUUGUUAGGUUUCAUUUUCGGUUUUCAUUGUUUUGUGAUUUCACGUUAGAAAAAUUGUUUUGUGAUUUCACGUUCUUAUUUUUUAAGCCUUCUCAAUCACAUAAGAAGCAUUCUCAGUCAAACAUGAAAAAGCAUUGUUAUUUUUUCUUUCA